RNAcentral lists this ribosomal RNA (145 nucleotides) under Bacillus amyloliquefaciens. RNAcentral's name for it is "partial 16S ribosomal RNA". It matches the Rfam family "Bacterial small subunit ribosomal RNA", at positions 1 to 142 of the family's 1533-position model. Lineage: Bacteria; Bacillati; Bacillota; Bacilli; Caryophanales; Bacillaceae. The record is from RNAcentral. RNAcentral also lists the same sequence under 2 other names.
UUAUCGGAGAGUUUGAUCCUGGCUCAGGACGAACGCUGGCGGCGUGCCUAAUACAUGCAAGUCGAGCGGACAGAUGGGAGCUUGCUCCCUGAUGUUAGCGGCGGACGGGUGAGUAACACGUGGGUAACCUGCCUGUAAGACUGGG